AAAAAAACCAGGCAUCAAAGAUCACGCCGACACCGACGACCACUGGAAUAUUCCCUACCGACGGACCAUUUCGAAAUUAAACAGACCAAAUCCCGAAAACUAUAUAUACCGCUUUUUCCCAUCUCCAUUUUGAGCCCUAAAAUCACACUUCCUCUCUCGGGCCUCCACCUAGACGCGCACAUGCUCUUCACUUCAAAAUUCCUCACUUUCCUUCGCUUUCCCUUACUUUCUCCCUCCAGUUCCUCGCUUCCCUUUAUCGAUUUCUCCGACAGCGCGUCAGAACGGCUCCGUCCUUUUCGCUCUUGACCUUGUCGUUCCAGAUCGCGAGGUAUG
This 333-nucleotide unclassified non-coding RNA is filed under the name Hevea brasiliensis (rubber tree). Lineage: Eukaryota; Viridiplantae; Streptophyta; Magnoliopsida; Malpighiales; Euphorbiaceae. The record is from RNAcentral.